GGCCGCGGGAAUUCGAUUUCUGGUUGAUCCUGCCAGACCCGACUGCUAUCAGAGUGGGACUAAGCCAUGCGAGUCAACGUAGCAAUGCGUGGCGAACGGCUCAGUAACACGUAGUCAACAUGCCCAGGGGACGUGGAUAACCUCGGGAAACUGAGAUUAAACCGCGAUAGGUCAAGAUUUCUGGAAUGGAUCCUGGCUUAAAUCUACAUGGCCCCUGGAUUGGACUGCGGCCGAUCAGGCUGUUGGUGAGGUAAUGGCCCACCAAACCUAUAACCGGUACGGGCUCUGAGAGGAGAAGCCCGGAGAUGGGCACUGAGACGAGGGCCCAGGCCCUAUGGGGCGCAGCAGGCGCGAAAACUCUGCAAUGGGCGAAAGCCUGACAGGGUUACUCUGAGUGAUUUCCGCUAAGGAGAUCUUUUGGCAGCUCUAAAAAUGGUGCAGAAUAAGGGGUGGGCAAGUCUGGUGUCAGCCGCCGCGGUAAUACCAGCACCCCGAGUGGUCGGGACGAUUAUUGGGCCUAAAGCAUCCGUAGCCGGUUGUGCAAGUCCUCCGUUAAAUCCAGCCGCUCAACGGAUGGGCUGCGGAGGAUACUACAGAACUAGGAGGCGGGAGAGGCAAGCGGUACUUAGUGGGUAGGGGUAAAAUCCUUUGAUCCAUUGAAGACCACCAGUGGCGAAGGCGGCUUGCCAGAACGCGCUCGACGGUGAGGGAUGAAAGCUGGGGGAGCAAACCGGAUUAGAUACCCGGGUAGUCCCAGCUGUAAACGAUGCAGACUCGGUGAUGGGCUAGCCUCGUGUCAGCCCAGUGCCGCAGGGAAGCCGUUAAGUCUGCCGCCUGGGGAGUACGGUCGCAAGACUGAAACUUAAAGGAAUUGGCGGGGGAGCACCACAAGGGGUGAAGCCUGCGGUUCAAUUGGACUCAACGCCGGAAAUCACUAGUGAAUUC
RNAcentral lists this ribosomal RNA (945 nucleotides) under uncultured archaeon. RNAcentral's name for it is "bacterial SSU rRNA". It matches the Rfam family "Archaeal small subunit ribosomal RNA", at positions 1 to 940 of the family's 1478-position model. The record is from RNAcentral.